Molecule: ribosomal RNA, 430 nt
Filed under: uncultured bacterium
Lineage: Bacteria
Description: bacterial SSU rRNA
Rfam family: Bacterial small subunit ribosomal RNA
Source: RNAcentral
CGUACGCUGGCGGCACGCCUUAUACAUGCAAGUCGAACGAAGUAGCAAUACUUAGUGGCAGACGGGUGAGUAACAUGUAGGUAUCUUCCCUUUGGUGAGGAAUAACACGAGGAAACUUGUGCUAAUACCUCAUAAGUCUUUACGGAGAAAGCUUUAUGCGCCGAAGGAUGAGCCUGCACUUGAUUAGUUUGUUGGUGGGGUAAUGGCCUACCAAGACUUUGAUCUAUAGCUGAUCUGAGAGGAUGAUCAGCCACAUUGGGACUGAGACACGGCCCAAACUCCUACGGGAGGCAGCAGUAGGGAAUAUUGCACAAUGGAGGAAACUCUGAUGCAGCGAUGCCGCGUGAGUGAAGAAGGCCUUUGGGUUGUAAAGCUCUUUCGUCGGGGAAGAAAAUGACUGUACCCGAAUAAGAAGGUCCGGCUAACUUCG